RNAcentral lists this ribosomal RNA (1402 nucleotides) under synthetic construct. RNAcentral describes it as "bacterial SSU rRNA". It matches the Rfam family "Bacterial small subunit ribosomal RNA". The record is from RNAcentral. RNAcentral also lists the same sequence under 2 other names.
AGAGUUUGAUCUGGCUCAGGAUGAACGCUAGCGACAGGCUUAACACAUGCAAGUCGAGGGGCAGCGGGGGAGUAGCAAUACUCCCGCCGGCGACCGGCGCACGGGUGAGUAACACGUAUGAAACCUGCCCGUAGCAGGGGGAUAAGCGGAAGAAAUUCCGUCUAAUACCGCGUAACAACCCGAGGAGGCAUCUCCUCGGGUUUAAAGGAGGCGAUUCCGGCUACGGAUGGUCAUGCGUCGCAUUAGCUAGUUGGCGGGGUAACGGCCCACCAAGGCGACGAUGCGUAGGGGUUCUGAGAGGAAGGUCCCCCACACUGGUACUGAGACACGGACCAGACUCCUACGGGAGGCAGCAGUGAGGAAUAUUGGUCAAUGGCCGAGAGGCUGAACCAGCCAAGUCGCGUGAGGGAAGAAUGUCCUAUGGAUUGUAAACCUCUUUUGUCAGGGAGCAAAGUCACCCACGUGUGGGUGCUGGAGAGUACCUGAAGAAAAAGCAUCGGCUAACUCCGUGCCAGCAGCCGCGGUAAUACGGAGGAUGCGAGCGUUAUCCGGAUUUAUUGGGUUUAAAGGGUGCGUAGGCGGGUUAUCAAGUCAGCGGUAAAAUCGUGGAGCUCAACUCCAUCCAGCCGUUGAAACUGAUGAUCUUGAGUGGGCGAGAAGUAUGCGGAAUGCGUGGUGUAGCGGUGAAAUGCAUAGAUAUCACGCAGAACUCCGAUUGCGAAGGCAGCAUACCGGCGCCCGACUGACGCUGAAGCACGAAAGCGUGGGUAUCGAACAGGAUUAGAUACCCUGGUAGUCCACGCAGUAAACGAUGAAUACUAAUUGUGUGCUCCGAAUGAGGAGUGCGUGAUACAGCGAAAGCGUUAAGUAUUCCACCUGGGGAGUACGCCGGCAACGGUGAAACUCAAAGGAAUUGACGGGGGCCCGCACAAGCGGAGGAACAUGUGGUUUAAUUCGAUGAUACGCGAGGAACCUUACCCGGGCUCAAACGCAGGAGGGAUGUUUUUGAAAGGAGGCAGCUCUACGGAGUCUCCUGCGAGGUGCUGCAUGGUUGUCGUCAGCUCGUGCCGUGAGGUGUCGGCUUAAGUGCCAUAACGAGCGCAACCCCUACCGCCAGUUGCCAACGGGUAAAGCCGGGAACUCUGGCGGGACUGCCGGCGCAAGCUGUGAGGAAGGCGGGGAUGACGUCAAAUCAGCACGGCCCUUACGUCCGGGGCGACACACGUGUUACAAUGGCAGGUACAGCGGGAAGCCACUUGGCGACAAGGCGCGGAACCCGAAAACCUGUCUCAGUUCGGAUUGGAGUCUGCAACCCGACUCCAUGAAGCUGGAUUCGCUAGUAAUCGCGCAUCAGCCACGGCGCGGUGAAUACGUUCCCGGGCCUUGCACUCACCGCCCGUCA